Molecule: ribosomal RNA, 624 nt
Filed under: Triticum aestivum (bread wheat)
Lineage: Eukaryota; Viridiplantae; Streptophyta; Magnoliopsida; Poales; Poaceae
Description: partial small subunit ribosomal RNA
Source: RNAcentral
AUGUUUUGUAUUUCUAAUCCAUCCGUGGACGCGUGUGCGGUUUGCCACAAAAAAACCCAGAGUCGAGCGACCGCGCCUCCCACCCCGAUCUGGAUCCUCCGCCUCCCCGCCGCCGGUCCGCAUCAUCCACGACGCCAUCCCCGCGCGCCGGCCUACCUCCUCUCCGCCGCGCCCUCCUCCCCACACCACGGCCUGCCUCCUCUUCGCCGCACGCGGUUCGCCGACAGCGAGGCCCAGGCCGCAGCGCUCCAGGCCCGCGCCGGCCGGCUGCAGCGCACGCCGCCGACCACGAUCGGGCUGCUCAACACGCUCCUCGCCGCCAUGGGCCACGACUGGGAGGAGGAGGACGCGCGGGAGGCGGGGCAGCGGCAUAAUCAGCGCGUGUUGGAUCCAGCCGAGGCUGAGGAGCCCGCGAGAUCCCGUGACAGGGGUCUACUCGUCGUCCUCUUGCGCGAGAUGACUGAGGGACGCGGCGGCAUGGGUUUGACUCCAGAGAACAGCGACAAUCCGGCUGCCACCGGACGGAUCCAGAUGGAGGAGGGUCAGGGAGGCGCGCGGGGGAGGCCGUCGAGGUUUGGGGGCGCCGGAUCCAGAGUUCGGGGUGGCGCCAUGGUUGCUCGGUGA